AAAUUUAUCAACAACUCCAAACUUCAAAACUACAUAUAUAUGCAGCGACCACUUUGAUGACAAAUUUUUUCAUUAUUCUGAUGAAUUAAGAAGCAGAAAACGACUACGACCAGAAGCUGUUCCUGAAAACAUAAAUUUACAUCAAUCUUAUUUGUUAACAGAGAAUGUUGCCAAAGAGGCAGUAACGGAUAGAGUAUUAGUUAGCAGUAUUAAUAAACCUGAAAAUAAUAUAUUAAAAGAGAAAAAUUUAGAAUUAAAUAAAGAUUGUGAUAAAGAGACUAAGAUAUGUGGAGAAAAAAUGCCUGUGAAUUGUUUUGAUAAAGGCUCUUUAAACGAGCAAAUUUGUUCACAUAAACUAAAUAAUAGUAGUGUAAGCAAUGACUCAAACAGUAAAAAAAGGAAAAAUGUAUUUACGCAGAACAAAGCUGUAAAAAGAGUUCGUUUUAUGAAUGGUUUUAAAACAGAAUAUAUAUUUCGAGAAGACUUCGUUUCUGAUGAAGCUUGGAAUCGAUUCUUAAGAUUCACAACUUAUAAAAAAUCGAAAAUGGCAGCUGCACAUAACAAAAACUCACGCAAAGGAAAAAAAAUAAAAAAUUUAAAAGUUUUGAUAAAAGAGAAGAAAAAAGAGAAGAAACACUCCUUGUGAAGUAAAAUUUACUUCCACUCAAGUUAAUGUUUUUCUGCAAAAUAACAAAUAUCAUAUCUUUGAACAUAAUUACAGUAAAAGUGAAAGUUGGUAUUCUCCUGAAUACGCAGAAGAAAUCAUUAAACAUACAGCUGGUUCAAUUUUUCAUAUUUUAAAACGUAAAAUUCACUGUAAAAAGUGCUGUGAACUAUUACCUACUAUUAGAUGGAGCCAAUAGUACUUUUAAAUCUAAAUUAACAAUUUUAAAAAAUCGUGGAGGCUUGAAUUUUGUAUCUGAUGAUGUGAAUUUCAUUUGCAAAUGUAUAGAAAAAAUCAUAAGUACGUUAAUGUAAAAAUUUAUUAGCUAAAAACAUAAAUACAGUAUUAAUUACUAAAACAUUUGAAAUUUUUCCAAGUACAAUUUUUGAUAAUAAUAAACAUUAUCUCGAGCAAGACCUUUUUAUAGACCACCGUAAUCAAUUAAUUUUACUUAUAAUACAAAACCAUAUAGAUAUUCGUUUAAAACACGGAUGUACAUAUUAUAUUGUUUGUACUAAAAUUUUUGUGUCAAAUAAUAAAAGACUGAUUUAUUUAA
Molecule: long non-coding RNA, 1220 nt
Organism: Temnothorax curvispinosus
Lineage: Eukaryota; Metazoa; Arthropoda; Insecta; Hymenoptera; Formicidae
Exons: 2
Source: RefSeq, a predicted model, not a curated record